This 542-nucleotide ribosomal RNA is filed under the name uncultured bacterium. Its description in RNAcentral is "bacterial SSU rRNA". It matches the Rfam family "Bacterial small subunit ribosomal RNA", at positions 356 to 896 of the family's 1533-position model. The record is from RNAcentral.
GAGGAAUAUUGGUCAAUGGGCGAGAGCCUGAACCAGCCAAGUAGCGUGCAGGAUGACGGCCCUAUGGGUUGUAAACUGCUUUUGUAUGGGGAUAAAGUCAAUCACGUGUGAUUGUUUGCAGGUACCAUACGAAUAAGGACCGGCUAAUUCCGUGCCAGCAGCCGCGGUAAUACGGAAGGUCCGGGCGUUAUCCGGAUUUAUUGGGUUUAAAGGGAGCGUAGGCCGUGGAUUAAGCGUGUUGUGAAAUGUAGACGCUCAACGUCUGAAUUGCAGCGCGAACUGGUUCACUUGAGUAUGCACAACGUAGGCGGAAUUCGUCGUGUAGCGGUGAAAUGCUUAGAUAUGACGAAGAACUCCGAUUGCGAAGGCAGCUUACGGGAGCACAACUGACGCUGAAGCUCGAAGGUGCGGGUAUCAAACAGGAUUAGAUACCCUGGUAGUCCGCACAGUAAACGAUGGAUGCCCGUUGUUAGUUCACUUAAGAAUUAGCGACCAAGCGAAAGCAUUAAGCAUCCCACCUGGGGAGUACGCCGGCAACGGUG